CUGACAUGCAUGCGAGUCGACGGGUUCUGAAACCUGGGAUGCGCAAGGAAGCUGACGAGCGGGAGGCCCUCACGGGCCGCACCGCUGGCCGACCCUGAUCUUCUGUGAAGGGUUCGAGUUGGAGCACGCCUGUCGGGACCCGAAAGAUGGUGAACUAUGCCUGAGCGGGGCGAAGCCAGAGGAAACUCUGGUGGAGGCUCGAAGCGAUACUGAUGUGCAAAUCGUUCGUCUGACUUGGGUAUAGGGGCGAAAGACUAAUCGAACCAUCUAGUAGCUGG
RNAcentral lists this ribosomal RNA (278 nucleotides) under Triticum aestivum (bread wheat). RNAcentral describes it as "rRNA LSU_rRNA_eukarya". It matches the Rfam family "Eukaryotic large subunit ribosomal RNA", at positions 675 to 954 of the family's 3401-position model. Lineage: Eukaryota; Viridiplantae; Streptophyta; Magnoliopsida; Poales; Poaceae. The record is from Rfam by way of RNAcentral.